RNAcentral lists this small RNA (67 nucleotides) under Schinkia azotoformans MEV2011. RNAcentral describes it as "Bacillus azotoformans MEV2011 Bacillaceae-1 RNA". It matches the Rfam family "Bacillaceae-1 RNA". Lineage: Bacteria; Bacillati; Bacillota; Bacilli; Caryophanales; Bacillaceae. The record is from RNAcentral.
CUCCGGCGAGCCAAGACUAAGAACGCCACUUCCUGUGGCAACGUCUUUGUGACCCACAUCCUGUGGG